UAUCAAUAAGCGGAGGAAAAGAAACCAACAGGGAUUGCCCCAGUAACGGCGAGUGAAGCGGCAGCAGCUCAAAUUUGAAAUCUGGCGCCCCCGCGGCGCCCGAGUUGUAAUUUGCAGAGGAUGCUUUUGGCGCGGCGCCUUCCGAGUUCCCUGGAACGGGACGCCAUAGAGGGUGAGAGCCCCGUCUGGUCGGGCGCCUAGCCUCUGUAAAGCUCCUUCGACGAGUCGAGUAGUUUGGGAAUGCUGCUCUAAGUGGGAGGUAUAUGUCUUCUAAAGCUAAAUACCGGCCAGAGACCGAUAGCGCACAAGUAGAGUGAUCGAAAGAUGAAAAGUACUUUGAAAAGAGGGUUAAACAGUACGUGAAAUUGUUGAAAGGGAAGCGCUCGUGACCAGACUCGGGCGCGGACAAUCAUCCGGCGUUCUCGCCGGUGCACUUGGCCGCGCCCGGGCCAGCAUCAGCUCGCCGCGGGGGACAAAGGCGCCGGGAACGUGGCUCCCCCGGGAGUGUUAUAGCCCGGCGCGCAAUGCCCCGCGGCGGACUGAGGUUCGCGCGUCCGCAAGGAUGCUGGCGUAAUGGUCACCAGUGACCCGUCUUGAAACACGGACCAAGGAGUCGUCCUCGUAUGCGAGUGUUCGGGUGUCAAACCCCUACGCGCAAUGAAAGUGAACGCAGGUGAGAGCCCUCGGGGCGCAUCAUCGACCGAUCCUGAUGUUCUCGGAUGGAUUUGAGUAAGAGCAUACGGGGCCGGACCCGAAAGAAGGUGAACUAUGCCUGUGUAGGGUGAAGCCAGAGGAAACUCUGGUGGAGGCUCGCAGCGGUUCUGACGUGCAAAUCGAUCGUCAAACAUGGGCAUGGGGGCGAAAGACUAAUCGAACCUUCUAGUAGCUGGU
This 891-nucleotide ribosomal RNA is filed under the name Ophiocordyceps brunneinigra. Its description in RNAcentral is "eukaryotic LSU rRNA". It matches the Rfam family "Eukaryotic large subunit ribosomal RNA", at positions 41 to 955 of the family's 3401-position model. Lineage: Eukaryota; Fungi; Ascomycota; Sordariomycetes; Hypocreales; Ophiocordycipitaceae. The record is from RNAcentral.